UUCCGUAGGUGAACCUGCGGAAGGAUCAUUACUAGUUUCGCUGCGCUUCGUCGCGGUGUUUCUAAAAAACUCUCGGGCUUUCAGCCUAGGGUUCCCGGCCUGUCUGCCGGGGACUGAACGCGACUCCGCGGCUUGAGUCUUUAGGCUCUCGCUAGCUCGGACCGCGGCUCGGAGGUUCGGUCCGGUGGCCCGCCUUUUGGUGGUCAGAAGCCGGUUAAAGUGCUUCGCCGUUCUCCCGAGUUUGAAUUUUGCUCUCCCCGUGAGGAGCUGUGAAAAACUUAACCGUUUGUUGAAAACUCGGCCAAUUUUUUGGCUAAACUUUUCGAAAAACAAUACUGUACAGUGGAUCACUUGGCUCGGGGGUCGAUGAAGAACGCAGCAAACUGCGCGUCAGCAUGCGAACUGCAGGACAUAUGAGCAUCGACAUUUUGAACGCAUAUUGCGGACCGUGGCUCGUCCACUGUCCACGUCUGGCUCAGGGUCGGUUAAUCAUCCAUCCAACUUCAUUGUUGGCAUUGAGCUCUCUGUAUUCCUCGGAGUACAGUGGCUUCAAGUUCUGAUGGCGCUAGACUUGCUUGUCUGGCCGACUCUCGGGCUCACGCCUGGGUUGGCAUUUCGGACUGCGGGCUUGGCGCUUUGGAGACUGGACUUUGAAUUCUAGUCUUCUUCCCUCUUUUAACUCACGACCUGAGAGCAGGCGAGAUUACCCGCCAAAUUUAAGCAUAUCAAUA
This 731-nucleotide ribosomal RNA is filed under the name uncultured eukaryote. RNAcentral's name for it is "eukaryotic LSU rRNA". The stretch from base 332 to 484 matches the Rfam family "5.8S ribosomal RNA". The record is from RNAcentral.